Molecule: ribosomal RNA, 2926 nt
Filed under: Escherichia coli
Lineage: Bacteria; Pseudomonadati; Pseudomonadota; Gammaproteobacteria; Enterobacterales; Enterobacteriaceae
Description: bacterial LSU rRNA
Rfam family: Bacterial large subunit ribosomal RNA
Source: RNAcentral
GGGUUGUGAGGUUAAGCGACUAAGCGUACACGGUGGAUGCCCUGGCAGUCAGAGGCGAUGAAGGACGUGCUAAUCUGCGAUAAGCGUCGGUAAGGUGAUAUGAACCGUUAUAACCGGCGAUUUCCGAAUGGGGAAACCCAGUGUGUUUCGACACACUAUCAUUAACUGAAUCCAUAGGUUAAUGAGGCGAACCGGGGGAACUGAAACAUCUAAGUACCCCGAGGAAAAGAAAUCAACCGAGAUUCCCCCAGUAGCGGCGAGCGAACGGGGAGCAGCCCAGAGCCUGAAUCAGUGUGUGUGUUAGUGGAAGCGUCUGGAAAGGCGCGCGAUACAGGGUGACAGCCCCGUACACAAAAAUGCACAUACUGUGAGCUCGAUGAGUAGGGCGGGACACGUGGUAUCCUGUCUGAAUAUGGGGGGACCAUCCUCCAAGGCUAAAUACUCCUGACUGACCGAUAGUGAACCAGUACCGUGAGGGAAAGGCGAAAAGAACCCCGGCGAGGGGAGUGAAAAAGAACCUGAAACCGUGUACGUACAAGCAGUGGGAGCACGCUUCGGCGUGUGACUGCGUACCUUUUGUAUAAUGGGUCAGCGACUUAUAUUCUGUAGCAAGGUUAACCGAAUAGGGGAGCCGAAGGGAAACCGAGUCUUAACUGGGCGUUAAGUUGCAGGGUAUAGACCCGAAACCCGGUGAUCUAGCCAUGGGCAGGUUGAAGGUUGGGUAACACUAACUGGAGGACCGAACCGACUAAUGUUGAAAAAUUAGCGGAUGACUUGUGGCUGGGGGUGAAAGGCCAAUCAAACCGGGAGAUAGCUGGUUCUCCCCGAAAGCUAUUUAGGUAGCGCCUCGUGAAUUCAUCUCCGGGGGUAGAGCACUGUUUCGGCAAGGGGGUCAUCCCGACUUACCAACCCGAUGCAAACUGCGAAUACCGGAGAAUGUUAUUACGGGAGACACACGGCGGGUGCUAACGUCCGUCGUGAAGAGGGAAACAACCCAGACCGCCAGCUAAGGUCCCAAAGUCAUGGUUAAGUGGGAAACGAUGUGGGAAGGCCCAGACAGCCAGGAUGUUGGCUUAGAAGCAGCCAUCAUUUAAAGAAAGCGUAAUAGCUCACUGGUCGAGUCGGCCUGCGCGGAAGAUGUAACGGGGCUAAACCAUGCACCGAAGCUGCGGCAGCGACACUAUGUGUUGUUGGGUAGGGGAGCGUUCUGUAAGCCUGUGAAGGUGUGCUGUGAGGCAUGCUGGAGGUAUCAGAAGUGCGAAUGCUGACAUAAGUAACGAUAAAGCGGGUGAAAAGCCCGCUCGCCGGAAGACCAAGGGUUCCUGUCCAACGUUAAUCGGGGCAGGGUGAGUCGACCCCUAAGGCGAGGCCGAAAGGCGUAGUCGAUGGGAAACAGGUUAAUAUUCCUGUACUUGGUGUUACUGCGAAGGGGGGACGGAGAAGGCUAUGUUGGCCGGGCGACGGUUGUCCCGGUUUAAGCGUGUAGGCUGAUUUUCCAGGCAAAUCCGGAAAAUCAAGGCUGAGGCGUGAUGACGAGGCACUACGGUGCUGAAGCAACAAAUGCCCUGCUUCCAGGAAAAGCCUCUAAGCAUCAGGUAACAUCAAAUCGUACCCCAAACCGACACAGGUGGUCAGGUAGAGAAUACCAAGGCGCUUGAGAGAACUCGGGUGAAGGAACUAGGCAAAAUGGUGCCGUAACUUCGGGAGAAGGCACGCUGAUAUGUAGGUGAAGCGACUUGCUCGUGGAGCUGAAAUCAGUCGAAGAUACCAGCUGGCUGCAACUGUUUAUUAAAAACACAGCACUGUGCAAACACGAAAGUGGACGUAUACGGUGUGACGCCUGCCCGGUGCCGGAAGGUUAAUUGAUGGGGUUAGCGGUAACGCGAAGCUCUUGAUCGAAGCCCCGGUAAACGGCGGCCGUAACUAUAACGGUCCUAAGGUAGCGAAAUUCCUUGUCGGGUAAGUUCCGACCUGCACGAAUGGCGUAAUGAUGGCCAGGCUGUCUCCACCCGAGACUCAGUGAAAUUGAACUCGCUGUGAAGAUGCAGUGUACCCGCGGCAAGACGGAAAGACCCCGUGAACCUUUACUAUAGCUUGACACUGAACAUUGAGCCUUGAUGUGUAGGAUAGGUGGGAGGCUUUGAAGUGUGGACGCCAGUCUGCAUGGAGCCGACCUUGAAAUACCACCCUUUAAUGUUUGAUGUUCUAACGUUGGCCCCUGAUCGGGGUUGCGGACAGUGUCUGGUGGGUAGUUUGACUGGGGCGGUCUCCUCCUAAAGAGUAACGGAGGAGCACGAAGGUUGGCUAAUCCUGGUCGGACAUCAGGAGGUUAGUGCAAUGGCAUAAGCCAGCUUGACUGCGAGCGUGACGGCGCGAGCAGGUGCGAAAGCAGGUCAUAGUGAUCCGGUGGUUCUGAAUGGAAGGGCCAUCGCUCAACGGAUAAAAGGUACUCCGGGGAUAACAGGCUGAUACCGCCCAAGAGUUCAUAUCGACGGCGGUGUUUGGCACCUCGAUGUCGGCUCAUCACAUCCUGGGGCUGAAGUAGGUCCCAAGGGUAUGGCUGUUCGCCAUUUAAAGUGGUACGCGAGCUGGGUUUAGAACGUCGUGAGACAGUUCGGUCCCUAUCUGCCGUGGGCGCUGGAGAACUGAGGGGGGCUGCUCCUAGUACGAGAGGACCGGAGUGGACGCAUCACUGGUGUUCGGGUUGUCAUGCCAAUGGCACUGCCCGGUAGCUAAAUGCGGAAGAGAUAAGUGCUGAAAGCAUCUAAGCACGAAACUUGCCCCGAGAUGAGUUCUCCCUGACUCCUUGAGAGUCCUGAAGGAACGUUGAAGACGACGACGUUGAUAGGCCGGGUGUGUAAGCGCAGCGAUGCGUUGAGCUAACCGGUACUAAUGAACCGUGAGGCUUAACCUUACAACGCCGAAG